UCCGUUGCCAGCAGCCGCGGUAAUACGGAGGGUGCAAAGCGUUAUCCGGGAUUUUAUUGGGUUUAAAGGGUGCGUAGGCGGUAUUUUAAGUCAGUGGUGAAAACUUGCAGCUCAACUGUAGAAUUGCCAUUGAAACUGAAGUACUUGAGUUAUCUUGAAGUAGGCGGAAUGUGUAGUGUAGCGGUGAAAUGCUUAGAUAUUACACAGAACACCGAUUGCGAAGGCAGCUUACUAAGGGUAAACUGACGCUGAGGCACGAAAGCGUGGGGAUCGAACAGGAUUAGAUACCCUGGUAGUCCACGCCGUAAACGAUGAUGACUCGCUGUUGGCGAUACACAGUCAGCGGCUUAGCGAAAGCGUUAAGUCAUCCACCUGGGGAGUACGCUCGCAAGAGUGAAACUCAAAGGAAUUGACGGGGGCCCGCACAAGCGGAGGAACAUGUGGUUUAAUUCGAUGAUACGCGAGGAACCUUACCUGGGCUUAAAUGUGCUAUGACCGCCGGAGAAAUUUGGCUUUUCGCAAGAACAGAGUACAAGGUGCUGCAUGGUUGUCGUCAGCUCGUGCCGUGAGGUGUCGGGUUAAGUCCCAUAACGAGCGCAACCCUUAUUGUCAGUUGCUAACAGGUAAAGCUGAGGACUCUGGCGAGACUGCCACCGUAAGGUGUGAGGAAGGUGGGGAUGACGUCAAAUCAGCACGGCCCUUAUGUCCAGGGCUACACACGUGUUACAAUGGCCGAUACAAAGGGCAGCUACCAGGCGACUGGAUGCUAAUCUCUAAAGUCGGUCUCAGUUCGGAUCGGAGUCUGCAACCCGACUCCGUGAAGCUGGAUUCGCUAGUAAUCGCGCAUCAGCCAUGGCGCGGUGAAUACGUUCCCGGGCCUUGUACACACCGCCCGUCAAACCAUGGGAGUUGGGGGUACCUGAAGUAUGUGACCGAGAGGAGCGUCCUAGGGUAAAACC
This 959-nucleotide ribosomal RNA is filed under the name uncultured bacterium. RNAcentral's name for it is "bacterial SSU rRNA". It matches the Rfam family "Bacterial small subunit ribosomal RNA", at positions 502 to 1469 of the family's 1533-position model. The record is from RNAcentral.